Molecule: transfer RNA, 85 nt
Filed under: Felis catus (domestic cat)
Lineage: Eukaryota; Metazoa; Chordata; Mammalia; Carnivora; Felidae
Rfam family: tRNA
About the family: Transfer RNA (tRNA) molecules are approximately 80 nucleotides in length. Their secondary structure includes four short double-helical elements and three loops (D, anti-codon, and T loops).
Source: Rfam by way of RNAcentral
GCCUGGGUGGCUCAGUCAGUUAAGCGUCUGACUUCGGUUCAGGUCAUGAUCUCACGGCUUGUGGGUUCGAGCCCCGUGUCAGGCU